UACGUAGGGUGCGAGCGUUGUCCGGAUUUAUUGGGCGUAAAGCGCGCGCAGGUGGUUUAAUAAGUCUGAUGUAAAAGGCAGUGGCUCAACCAUUGUAUGCAUUGGAAACUGGUAGACUUGAGUGCAGGAGAGGAGAGUGGAAUUCCAGGUGUAGCGGUGAAAUGCGUAGAUAUAUGGAGGAACACCGGUGGCGAAAGCGGCUCUCUGGACUGUAACUGACACUGAGGCUCGAAAGCGUGGGUAGCAAACAGG
RNAcentral lists this ribosomal RNA (252 nucleotides) under uncultured microorganism. RNAcentral describes it as "partial 16S ribosomal RNA". It matches the Rfam family "Bacterial small subunit ribosomal RNA", at positions 524 to 776 of the family's 1533-position model. The record is from RNAcentral.